This 497-nucleotide ribosomal RNA is filed under the name uncultured bacterium. Its description in RNAcentral is "partial 16S ribosomal RNA". It matches the Rfam family "Bacterial small subunit ribosomal RNA", at positions 28 to 507 of the family's 1533-position model. The record is from RNAcentral.
GAUGAACGCUGGCGGCGUGCCUAAUACAUGCAAGUCGAGCGAACAGACGAGGAGCUUGCUCCUUUGACGUUAGCGGCGGACGGGUGAGUAACACGUAGGUAACCUACCUAUAAGACUGGGAUAACUUCGGGAAACCGGAGCUAAUACCGGAUAAUAUUUCGAACCGCAUGGUUCGAUAGUGAAAGAUGGCUUUGCUAUCACUUAUAGAUGGACCUGCGCCGUAUUAGCUAGUUGGUAAGGUAACGGCUUACCAAGGCAACGAUACGUAGCCGACCUGAGAGGGUGAUCGGCCACACUGGAACUGAGACACGGUCCAGACUCCUACGGGAGGCAGCAGUAGGGAAUCUUCCGCAAUGGGCGAAAGCCUGCCGGAGCAACGCCGCGUGAGUGAUGAAGGUCUUCGGAUCGUAAAACUCUGUUAUUAGGGAAGAACAAACGUGUAAGUAACUGUGCACGUCUUGACGGUACCUAAUCAGAAAGCCACGGCUAACUACGUG